AUACGGAGGACGCGAGCGUUGUCCGGAAUGAUUGGGCGUAAAGGGCGCGUAGGCGGCCCGGUAAGUCUGGAGUGAAAGUCCUGUUUUUAAGAUGGGAAUUGCUUUGGAUACUGUCGGGCUUGAGUGCACGAGAGGUAAGUGGAAUUCCCAGUGUAGCGGUGAAAUGCUUAGAGAUUACACAGAACACCGAUUGCGAAGGCAUCUCACGAAGGGUUGAUUGACGCUGAGGCACGAAAGCGUGGGGAUCAAACAGGAUUAGAUACCCUGGUAGUCCACGCAGUAAACGAUGAUGGCUAACCGCUGGGCUUAUCAGUUCAGUGGCCAAGCGAAAGCGAUAAGCCAUCCACCUGGGGAGUACGACCGCAAGGUUGAAACUCAAAGGAAUUGACGGGG
This 393-nucleotide ribosomal RNA is filed under the name uncultured bacterium. RNAcentral's name for it is "partial 16S ribosomal RNA". It matches the Rfam family "Bacterial small subunit ribosomal RNA", at positions 523 to 918 of the family's 1533-position model. The record is from RNAcentral.